UAUUAAAUUGUAUUAAAAAAUUAAUAUUUAAUUAAUAAAUUUAAUUAUAGUUUAAAAAUUAAUUAUAAAAUUAAUUUAUAUAUAAUUUUUUGAGAAUUUUAGUUAAAUAAAUAUGAUAUAGUAUGUAAAAUUAAUAAAUUUAAAUAAGUUUAAUUUUAGAAAUUUUUAUAAUUUAGAUAAAAAGUUGUGCCAGCAAUCGUGGUUAAACAAAUUAGGUGAAUUAAUAUUUUUAAAUUGAAAUUAAAUGAAAAUAUUAUAAAAAAUGUUAAAUUUAUAAGGUGAAAUUUAUUAAAUUUAAUAAAUUUAUAAUUUUAAAGUAAUUGAGUUUUUGAAAGUUUAUAUAAAACUAGGAUUAGAUACCCUAUUAUAGAAUUUAAAAUAAAAGUUUGAUUAUUAAAUGAUAAAACAUUAAAUUUAAAUAAUUUGGCGGUAUUUUAAUUUUAUUAGAGGAACUUAUUAUAUAAUUGAUAAUACACGAUAAGAAUAACUUUAAUAAAAAUUCUUAUAUUGUUGUUUUAAAGAUAUUUUUAGAAAACUUAUUUAAUAUAUUUAAUAAAUAAUAAUUCAAAUCAAAAUGAGGUGAAUAUUAAAGAAUAAAUGAGUUACAAUAAAUUUUAUUUAAAUGAAUUUAUAAUUUAAAAAUUAUAAUGAAGGUGGAUUUAAAAGUAAAAUAAAAUAAUUUUUUUAUUUGAUUUAAAUUUUAAAAUAUGUACAAAUUGCCCGUCGUUCUCUUUGAAAGAAGAGGUAAGUCGUAACAAAGUAAAAGUACUGGAAAGUGUUUUUAGAUU
Molecule: non-coding RNA, 788 nt
Filed under: Chrysis graelsii
Lineage: Eukaryota; Metazoa; Arthropoda; Insecta; Hymenoptera; Chrysididae
Source: RNAcentral